Molecule: RNA transcript, 8471 nt
Organism: Salvia splendens (bonfire salvia)
Lineage: Eukaryota; Viridiplantae; Streptophyta; Magnoliopsida; Lamiales; Lamiaceae
Gene name: PHD-finger and DNA binding domain-containing protein
Exons: 10
Source: RefSeq, a predicted model, not a curated record
ACCAUCAGCACACCAAACUUUCCCCUUUUUAGAGAGAGAAACAAAACCCCUCAACCAUUUCUCUCUCUAACCAUAGGCCUUUCUGCUGCCCAAUCCAAUUUUCAUUUUCUCAAUUCAACUUCGAUUUUGUUAUUUUUGGGGAUUUUUUUUCCUUCUGAGAUCGGGGGAUGGAGUAUGUGGGCAGACAGGUGAAGAAGAAGUUCAAAGGGCACGGCACGUUUUUGGGUUUGGUAAAGGCGUACGACGCGGAGACUGGUUUUUUGAAGAUUGUAUACGACGACGGAGAUUCCGAGGAAUUGGAGUUGACUGAAGUCUCUUCGCUCUUGAUGCCUGCUGAGCCUCAGCCGUCGGGAUCUUCUGCGGGGAGGCCGGGGCGCAAGCCGAAGAAGCGACGCCGCAUUGGCGUUUCAGGUGACGAUGUUGAGAAUUCAGCUGAUGGGGCGAUUUCUGACGGUUUGGAAGGUAGAGAUGGGGAGUCUGGGGAGUUUGACUUGAAUUUGACUGAGAGAAUAGAUUUGAAUGAUGAUGGCGUAGAUUGUUUGCGUAAUGCUGGUCAUGCGAAUGGUGGAGGGAGUAAGCUGCAUGGUUUGGAUUUAAAUGAGUUGGUGAAUCUAGAGCUGAAUAAGGAAAUUGUUGAAGAUGGCUCCCAAGAGGGAAAGAAAAUGAUUGACUUGAAUCUGGAUGUAAAUGAGGGUUUUGAGAAAUUGAGUGACGAGAGAGGAGGACGAUGCUUUGACUUGAAUUUACAGCUAAUGGAGGAUGAGGUGAGGAUUUUGGAAGGUUGUGAUGCGAGACUUGGAGAAGGUGACAAUGGUUGUUCUAGAGAAAAUGAGAAAAUGGAGGAAGGGUUGGUGGUGGAGGAUGAUGCAGUUGAAGUGUUAGAGAAUGGAAAUGGAGAUGAUAAGGUGGAUCAUGUAGUUCACAUAGACAAGGAAGAUGAUAGCCAAUUGAAGAACCAUGCCAGUGUGGUUGAUAGUGAGAAUGUGGCUUCAUUAAAUGUGCAAGUCAAGAGAAGGGGUAGAAAGAAAAAAAAUGUAUCAAAUAACAUUACUGAAUUGGCCACACAAUUGGAUAAUGAAACAGGGAAUGUGAACUUAGAGCUGGAAAGAAGAGAUGAAACCCCAUUGAAAAAUGUUAGUGGUUUAGUCGAUCAUGACAAUGAAGUCUCAGAAACAGUAUUGAGUGGGAGAAGAGGUAGGAGAAAAAGAGAGCCACCAAAUAAUGAAGUUACCUUGACAACUCCCGAGACUGGAUUGAGAAGGAGCAGCCGCAGAGCAAAAAGAGCUGCUUUGUCUGAUCUAGACCAAGUACUUAAUGAAGCAGAGCUUGUUGGCAUCAAUCAGCAGUUGUCCUCUCCAGCCAUAAGCAACGUGUCUCAAGAAAGGGUUACGGUGGCAGCUCGUGGAAAAAUUUCCAAUGUUGUAGCUCUUCCAGAAAAAGUGAAGCUGCCGCCACCUUCUUGCGACAUGAACUUAGUUGGAGUUUCACUGUUUGAUUUGGUUUCUGUUUAUACGUUUCUGAGGUCAUUUAGUACUUUAUUGUUUCUAAGCCCCUUCAAGCUGAAUGAUUUUGUAGCCUCUGUUAAAUGUAGUGAUUCAUCAUCAUUGUUCGACUUUAUUCAUGUUUCUCUUCUAAAAACAUUACAAAAACAUUUGGAGACCCUGGCAGCUGAAGGCUUUGAUUCUGCAUCGGAUUGUUUGAGGUCGCUUAAUUGGGAUUUUCUCGACUUGAUUACAUGGCCAAUGUAUGUGGUUGAGUACCUGUUAUUACACAGUCCUGGCCAUAUUCCUGGUCUAGAUCUUUGUCAACUAAAGUUUUUCCAGAAUGACUAUUACAAACUGCCGAUUUCAGCAAAGGUUAAGAUCCUGCAGCAUCUUUGUGAUGACGUAAUUGAAACGGAAGCCUUUAAGUUGGAGCUGAACAGAAGGAUUCUGACAACAGAUAGGCAAACAGAUUUGGACCGAAAGAUGAAACUUGAGAGCAGCAGAAAAAGAAAGACCACAGUCGAUGUCGCGAGCACUUCCUGCAUUACAGGAGAAGGGGAUGGCGCUGAGGAUCCUGCAGAUUGGAACAGUGAUGAAUGCUGUCUGUGUAAGAUGGAUGGGGACUUGAUAUGCUGUGAUGGCUGCCCUGCAGCAUUCCAUUCAAGAUGUGUAGGGGUAGUCAGCAGCAUGUUGCCUGAGGGUGAUUGGUAUUGCCCUGAAUGUGUGAUUGAAAGGGAUAAGCCUUGGAUGAAAGUGAGUAAGUCAACUCGAGGGGCAGAACUGCUGGGGUUUGAUCCCUAUGGCCGACUGUACUAUAGCAGCUGUGGUUACCUGUUUGUGUUAGAGUCAUGCAAUGAUGAAUACAUGUUUUGUGCCUACAAUAGAAAUGACUUAACUACAUUGAUUGAAGCUCUAGAGUCGUCACCAUUCAUCUAUGACAAAUUGAUUAAUGCUAUCUGCAAAAAUUGGAAUGUAAGUCGUGGAAGUUGUGGUGCCAAAAAUGAUUUGGACACUCGGUCUUGCUCUAUUCAGUCAGUCUUUCCUGAAAAAGGCCAAAUGCCAGAUAUGCUUAUGGUACCUUCAGAAUCCAUUAUCAGGAAUGGCAGUUCUAAAAAAACAUCAGAUGAAAAGUCUAUGGUGACUACUUAUUCCAGUAAUGAAGAAAAUCUUAAUUCUGAGCGUGUUACAGCUAUGGUGGAGAUUUGCAACCAUGGACUGAAGAUGGAAAAUCAUUUAGCAAGUUCCGAAGGAUCAGCUGAAGUCUCUCAGACUUCAAUGAAGAUUGAUAACCCAAAGGAAAGUGUGCUGGAGUGUACAAAAACAUGCUUUGAUCCUUCAGAUUGCUGCGAUAUUCCAGAGAAACUUAUCAAUGCUGGUGAUCAUGAUAUGGCAUCUACUUCUUUAAACUUUGAAGAAGGGAAGAGUCUUAAACCCUAUUCCAUGAACUCUAACGUAGAAGUGGGUUACGGGACAAAUUAUAUGAAUUGCUAUGAGUUUGCUCGUACAGCUUCAGAUUAUUACCAAGAGUAUUCUCGUAAAUCAUCAGAUAAGACCUCUGGUGAUGCCCCAAGAUCUAUUGAAGAAGUCUUAGCAGGACAACUGAAGAUUGUAUCAAAUAGAUUUGUUGAAUUUUCUUGGUCAAAUAUCCAAAAUUCUAACAUGACCUCAAGGAAAGAAAGGUGUGGAUGGUGCGUCUAUUGCAGGGUUCCUGGAGAAGAAAGGGACUGCUUAUUUUCUAUGAAUGAUAGUAUUCCAGCAGUAGAGAAAUUUUCCCAUGAAGUUUUAGGAAUCCCGUCACAAAUGAAUGUGAAGAACCAUCUGAUUAAUAUAAUGUGCCACAUUAUAUGCAUGGAAGAUCAUCUGCAGGGUCUUCUGUUGGGCCCAUGGUUAAAUCCAGACUAUUCCAUGCUUUGGCAUGCCAGUGUUCGUGGAGCAACUGAUAUUGCUUUGUUGAAAAAUUUGCUGCUCCAGCUAGCGUCCAAUUUACAUCAUCUAGCACUAUCUGCUGACUGGAGAAAGCAUGUCGAUUCUGUUGCUACGGUUGGCUCUGCCACUCAUAUUGUCAGCACAUCUGCACGAGCAUCGGCAAAACAUGGAAUUAGCAGGAAAAGAGCGAAGUCUUCUGAUGUGAGCGGACCAUCUUCGAAUGCUGCAACUGGUCUGAGCUUAUUCUGGUGGAGGGGUGGAAGGGGCUCACGCACACUCUUCAGUUGGAAGGUUUUGCCUCACUCUUUGGCUUCCAAAGCUGCCCGACAAGGUGGACGUAAGAAGAUACCUGGCAUACUGUAUCCUGAGAGUGGAGAUUAUGCCAAGAGAACUAAAUAUGAUUCCUGGAGAGCUUCUGUUGAGACCUCAAGAAGCGUGGAACAGCUUGCUCUGCAGGUUAGGGAGAUGGAUGCUAAUAUUCGAUGGGAUGACAUUGGAAAUAAUAAGCUUUUUUCCAAGAUAGAAAUGGACUCUAAAAAACCUGCCAGAUCAUUUAAGAAGGUUAUAAUUCGUAGGAAGUGUUCUGAGGGAGCUGUGGUCAGGUACCUUCUGGACUUCGGCAAAAGAAGGUUCAUUCCUGAUGUUGUUGUCAAACAUGGGUCCAAGCUUGAAGAUUCCUCGAAUGAGAGGAAAAGAUAUUGGCUUGAAGAGUCUCAUGUUCCAUUGCACCUCUUGAAAGCUUUUGAAGAGAAAAGAAUCGCUCGCAAGUCCAAUACUAUGAAGUCUGGAAAACUUAGUGAGAGUAGUAGAGUAAUGAAGAAGCCCUUAAAGGAAAAAGGAUUUUCAUAUCUUUUCUCAAGAGCAGAAAGAGUGGAUUAUUAUCAGUGUGCUCAUUGUGAAAAAGAUGUCCUAAUCAGGGAAGCAGUGAGCUGCCAGCAUUGCAAAGGCUUUUUCCAUAAACGACACGUUCGGAAUUCUGCUGGAUAUAUCACUACUCAAUGUAAAUAUACUUGCCAUAAAUGCCAGGAUCUAAAGGUUGUGAAAGUUGAUACAAGGAAGGGGAAAUCUGAAUCCACAAAACUUAAGAAAGCCUCAAAAAGUGUAAAACUGUUACGCUCAGGGAGAGGGAGAAAAAGGGGGAAGGGAAAGCUACUAGUGAAUUCUAUAAACAAAAAAGGCGUUUCUGUCGCUCCCUUACGUCGUUCAGCUAGGAAUGCUGAACGUACUGCAAAAAUUCCAAUGCAGAACAGUAAGUUAAAAAAAAGAAAAAGGGGAAGAAAGCCGAAACCAGAGAAGUAUAAGUCUAUGAAGCCCAAGGCUAUUAGUCGCAAGAAGCAGAGAACGGCUGUUACGAGCAGUUAUUGGUUGAAUGGUCUACGACUUUCAAGAAAGCCAGGUGACGAAAGACAUCUCAGGAAUAGGAAGCUUCUUGUCCUUUCAGGUGAGGUGGAUUCCAUCCUCAAUGAGACUAAAUGCAGCCUCUGCCAUGAAGUGGAACAUAAUUCUGAACUGAAUUAUGUGGGUUGUGAAAUUUGUGGAGCUACAAAGCAGUACCGUCCAACAUGUAACUGAAGCAAGUUGAAGACAUUGAUGAAAAUUCGAAUGUACAGAUAAAUGCUGGAGCAUAAUAUGCAGUUGAUUAAUGCUGAACAACCAUCUUGUCCUUUAUAGAGGUUUGCUGUUCUUUCCUAUUUAAUCUGAUUUCUUUUAUUACCUAUCAUGGCAUUGAUGAUGCUUUAAAAAGUCUUUGCCUCCGUAAGAUUGACAAAUAAAUCUCGGAACAAAUCAUAAAUUAGCAAAAAAGUGUCUUAGCAGGUAAGAUCAGAGUUUAUGGAUAUUCUGAGAAUUUUAUUUAAUGUCACAAAAGUAAGUGGAGAGAGAUUGUGGUGGAAAUCGGCUAAUUAGUAGUUUGAUGCAUAAAUGAGUAAUCUUCUACUUGUGAAACUGUCUAUUUUAGGUAAUAGAGAGACAUUUAAGCUAAACUUAAGGCCCCUUGAUAUUUCUGUUGUAACAUACAUAUACUAUCUAUUUUUGUCGAAAAUGACAACAAAGUUAGUGAAGUGCAGUGAUCAUUGGUCUGCUUUUAAAAUCUUGAUAUGCUCCUUUUAAAUAAGGGGUUUGACUACUCUUUGCUUCUUUCCAUGAUCCAUCCUUAAACUUUGAAAAUUCCUUUUCUUUAGAGUUCCGAUUGUGUCCUUUUUACUUGUAAAAAUUAUUGACAAUUUAUUUUCUGCCACUGCCCAAUAAUAAUGUCCUUCUAACUUUAAAAUGCAAACCUUAUAAAUAUCUUGAAACUGUAAUUGUAUUAAUUGCUUCAUGUUCUAAAUUAAAAGGAAAAUAAAAGUCUAUAAAUUAAAGGGACUUACUCGUAAAAUAAACCUUCCCUUUAUCACUUCAUGACAAUUUUUCUUUUUGAAAUAAACAUCUCUUUAUGAAAAAUUUCUUUUCAAGUUUCAACCUCUGUUGCCAUCGAUCAGAUUAUACUAAUCUAUUUUGAAUUUUAAUGUUUUAUAAUUAUUACAGUAAUAUAUAUUUUUAGUAAACUAAUAAAUAAUUUUCCAUUAAAAAAAACAAGAAAGAUGAAAACGAUUUUUUUUACAUUUAUGUUAUGCAUACUCUUUUUUACAUGUAUGUUAGUUUAAGGUUUUGCCUCAGGCCAACAGUUUUCUUGAUCCUGGUUAUCUUCAUUGAGCGCUUGCCGCCAUACAUUUACCGGUACAUAUUUUGUUGGUGCUAUGCGUGUAACAGAGUGAGUGUGCUACACUCAGAUGUACAUGGUAUGUGUUUUAACCCCAUCUUGAACUUGAGCUAAAUAAUCAUGUCAUGUCCUAUCCUGAUGUAAAUGGAUGCCUCUGAUGAAAAAAUUCAAGAGGGCGACUCAAGUUAUUAGGGAAAUUUUCUUGAUUAGUGGGCUAGUUAAUAAUGAAAGAUGUUGUCACAAGCUACUAGACUGAAAUUGGAUUCAAAUAUACAUUAAAGAAACAUAUUCGAAGUUCAAUUAACAAUAACCAGCAACGUAAACCUUUUGAGAGUCCGAGACAUGAUGACAUAAAUCAAUAAGAUAUGGCUUGCAAUACAUUGAAAAACCAUCCAUUGUAUUUUUUUUAUCACACAUCGCUUUUGUUUUGUGUUCUAUAAACAUUGGAAAGUCUUUUUCACUUUUAAGUGGUUAGUAGUUUAUAUUGCUAAUCUUUGUUGCUCGCCUUUGUGAUUUAAUGUUGACUUAAAAGCGAAGAGUCUUAGCUUGAUGUCAACGCACUGUGUAACCCCCCUCCCCGCUCUUCUCUCUGAUGGCGACUUCAAUUAUGCUUUGGAUCAGGUAAGUUAAACUCUUAAAUGAGAUGCUGUGGUGGAGAAGUUUGUUAUGUUUUUUAUUCUGUCCCCUUGACCCUUUUUGAACUACUAAUUUAUAUAAAAGGGAGGUACUUCAUUGUUCUGUAAGAUAUAUAUGUACCCACGACAGAUUUGAAUUUUAUGCAUUUGUUGUUUUAUGCUAGGCAAUGGAAUUAUUACAAACACUGUCAAUGGUUUAUGACUUCUUGUGAAAUGCAUCACAAUGAGAGAUGGAUAAGCAUUAUUACAUUUGCUCUAACGUUCUGCAGAAUUUAUAACGUCUACUAGUGAAAUUGUUCGUACUUUUUACUGAAACACGCAUUUUGGGAGACUGCCACACUCCAUCUAUGAGGCUGUUUAUGGUAACUGACAAGGGACCAUGGCUGACAGAAUUUGGAUUUGGCAGGUAAAAACAAGGUAGCUACUCUUGCAGGACAGAUCUGCUUUUGCACCCUCUUAACCUUGUUGCUACAGCAGAAGCAUCGCGCUAGCAAGAAGUUAUGGGAUCACCACCAUCACUCUACUCUAUGCUUGUUUUAAGUGCAUCGUUAUAAAUGGAUUUUCAGAUUAAAGAGAGACAAGUUGAGAAGGAUGGGAACACCCUGUUUUCUCAUGGUUUUCUUAUGUCCCGGGCUUAACUCUGCAAUCCCACAAUGUGAGGUAAAAUUCAUUCCCAUCUUCAUUGCUCUAUUCAGUCAUUCUAAAAAAUCAUCCAGAUGCAGUACCAGCGACACAAGGCGAGUCCACUACAUCUAAUUCCUUGUAGCAGAUCUAUGAAUUUGGAGGGCUUAGCUACCCGCAUCAAUGGGUUUUUUCUAUUUGGCACCACCACCACCACUGAUGCUAGUAAUCAUUCUGCCUUCUACAACGUAUGGAUAAUGUGUUCACUUUGACUCGAAAUUGGAUCCAUAGAUGCCAAAUAAUUAUAGGGGAUAAUAAAGUUUUUGCACUCCAUCUCCAAUAAAUGAUAAAUCAUUGUAAUUUUAAUAACAAAACGGAUGAGUGUUUACAAAUUCACGGUAUCUAUAUCUAGAGGAUUGAUAUGCUGAGAGCUCCUAGUGAGUGCUAGCUUGAGCCACUACCACGCUAAUUGCAUUUUUUUUAAUUAAUUUCUCUCUCCUCUUACCAACAUACAUGUUCUUUUAUCAAACUUCUGCUCUCCUAAAAUUUUGCCUGAACAUUUACCUCUCUUGCAAAAGUUAAAAAAUUUCUCUACUUCUCUUCCACAAUAUCUUCUUCACAAUUCUUUCGUCACACUACACCAAAAUUGAAACAUUCAGGAUGAUAGGGCUGAAGAAAAAAGAGGAAAAGAGCUCCAAUUCGAUUGCUUUUACCCCAAUUAGAAGAAAUUUAUCUCAUUGACCAAUUUUCUUCUUUCUUUUCCAAUUCUAAUAAGAACUGUGGCGAUUGUCUUCUUUCUCUGACCUCUCUCAUUCUCGGUGAUGAGCCACUUUCAAAUUCCCCAGCUUUGUUGAACCCGUGCGUAACUCAGUCAUUGACCAUCACUGCCUGCAAAUUGAUGCAGCUACCUACACCUCAACCAGUCCAUCCACUUCCAGUGCCUGGAAAAGUUUGCAGCUACAACUUUAGAUUUUAUGCAUUUUACUCAAAGAUGGAUUGACUCUGUACUUGGUUGGAAGUUCGUGUGUUAGUAUGUGAGAUUAAACUUUUGUGUGUGUCUACAUAUAUUUUUUCAAUGUUGAUAAUGAAUUUGAAUAUUUUAUACUA